RNAcentral lists this ribosomal RNA (465 nucleotides) under Vreelandella stevensii. RNAcentral describes it as "partial 16S ribosomal RNA". It matches the Rfam family "Bacterial small subunit ribosomal RNA", at positions 338 to 795 of the family's 1533-position model. The record is from RNAcentral. Lineage: Bacteria; Pseudomonadati; Pseudomonadota; Gammaproteobacteria; Oceanospirillales; Halomonadaceae.
CCUACGGGCGGCAGCAGUGGGGAAUAUUGGACAAUGGGCGAAAGCCUGAUCCAGCCAUGCCGCGUGUGUGAAGAAGGCCUUCGGGUUGUAAAGCACUUUCAGUGGGGAAGAAAGCCUUGGGGCUAAUACCCUCGAGGAAGGACAUCACCCACAGAAGAAGCACCGGCUAACUCCGUGCCAGCAGCCGCGGUAAUACGGAGGGUGCGAGCGUUAAUCGGAAUUACUGGGCGUAAAGCGCGCGUAGGCGGUCUGAUAAGCCGGUUGUGAAAGCCCCGGGCUCAACCUGGGAACGGCAUCCGGAACUGUCAGGCUAGAGUGCAGGAGAGGAAGGUAGAAUUCCCGGUGUAGCGGUGAAAUGCGUAGAGAUCGGGAGGAAUACCAGUGGCGAAGGCGGCAUUCUGGACUGACACUGACGCUGAGGUGCGAAAGCGUGGGUAGCAAACAGGAUUAGAUACCCCAGUAGUC